GCCCUGCCAUAGACUAUUGUCAUAUAAUGAUGGCCCUGAGGGAAGAUGAGGCUGUGAAAGACAGGGGGAAAAAGGCGGGCGACCAUCUACCUCAAAGCAAGCAACUGCAGCAGGCACAGGAAAGCAGGGGCGAGAAUCUACUUCAAAGCAAGCAACCACAACAGUUACAGGAGGGAGACAGACAGGAAAUGGUACCUCUAGCCUUCAUGAGCAGGAAGAGGUGACCACAAAUGGUGCAGGUGUGCCUUCUACAGACAGGCAAAGAUUAUAUCCUUCCCUGAGUCAAUGGUAACUGCCUCCUUAUGAGGCAACGCCAAAGCCAGCAAAGGGCUAUGACAGUUUGGAAAUGACUAGGCCGCCAGACAGGCCUAAGCCAUGGUCUCCCAGAAACCCAUUCCAGGAGGCCAGAGAUCCUUUAGAAGAUCUAUGUAAGAGAUGAGAAGUGGGGUAAGGUAGUACAAGCCUUCCCAGUCAACACAGCCCCCAUACCACAGCGCCUUGCCAUUUGGUAUCCACACACAUUGGGUACCCUGAAGGAGUUAAAGAAGACAGUGAAAGAGGAUGGGCCCUGGGGGCCAUUUGCAGAGCAAAUUCUCAAAUCACUCAGUCUUGAACUUAAUUGCCCUCAAGACUGGAAAGACCUAGCCAAAGUAGCUCUUGAGCUGGCAACAUUUUUGAAGUGGAAGGCAUUUUUCUAUGAUGAAUGUGAAUAGCAGGGGGAUCAUAACCACACCACAAAUGUUAACCUCCCAGCUGAAUGCUUGCAGGGAAUGAGAAUCUACAGUUCUCCUGCUGUACAAGCCACAGGCCCACCAAAUUA
Molecule: long non-coding RNA, 820 nt
Filed under: Marmota monax (woodchuck)
Lineage: Eukaryota; Metazoa; Chordata; Mammalia; Rodentia; Sciuridae
Source: RNAcentral